Molecule: long non-coding RNA, 237 nt
Filed under: Lathyrus oleraceus (garden pea)
Lineage: Eukaryota; Viridiplantae; Streptophyta; Magnoliopsida; Fabales; Fabaceae
Description: Pisum sativum (pea) long non-coding RNA (PSAT_LNC027987)
Source: RNAcentral
UUUGAGCCAUUACCCAUUUGUUUGUUUAAACACCACAUCAACCCAUGGUGCAAAACACUUCCCCACCAUGUUCAGAGUAUUUAUAUGAGUUAUCAGAGCUAGGUUCAUUCUAAGUUUGGGGUUGUUGUUGGAAUAACAACCUUUAAGUUUGGGGUAGCUGUGCAGUAUUAGUAUAAAUGAGGGCACCUGAUAAUUGAAAAAAAAAAGAGAAGAGAAAAGAUGAAAAUUUGAAAAAUC